AGUAGUUUUAUUUAGUUAGUUGAGUUUGAAUUUUAAAAGAAGUAAGAAUUAAAAAUUGAUUUGUACUUUAUCAAUCUUUUAAUUUUUUUCUUUUCAAGAAAACAAUAUAUAUAUAUAAAAACCAACUUUAGAAGUAGUAAUAUGUACCCUAGCUACUACCUUUUAAGUAACAUUAAAAAGCAUAAAAGUUAAUUGAAUAAUUUUGAGUAACUUUAAAAAAUAUAAAGAUUAAUUGAAUAACUGACUUGUAGUUGGAGUAAAGGAGUAUUUUUCAAAAAAUCAGUAAGCACUAUCACUUGCAAGUCAUUAACUCCAACUCUGUUGAAUAUGAUGCAUGCACAUUUCACCACUCAUCACUAGUCAAGCGCAGCCCCUUAGUCCCUCAUCCAACAAAUCAAAAUCAGCCAUGCUUAAUGUUUUAAAGUAAGAAAUAGUAAAGAUUCAUGUAUGGCCAUGCUCCUGCCUCGAAGUCUUGCUUGGCACCAAUCAUAUUGAAUCCAAGGAGGCCGAAUAAAUGAGGAAACUGAGAAUUUCUACCAUUUUGUUCAAUAAUACUAAUUAUAUAGGCAGGCUUUUUUCAUUUUGUAAUCGUAUGUAAGAGAGAUUGUAACAUUUUUAAUUUUUUGGUUUGACAUUCUGGAAGAAAAUGGUUUGCCGUUUCUGGAGAAAACGAUUUGCCGUUUCUGGAGAAAACGGCUAACCCUUUAAUUCCAGAGAGUAUGUUUUCUGUUCUAGAGAAAACGACUAACCGUUUGGAGAAAACGGCUAACCGUUUGGAGAAAACAGCUAACCGUUUGGAGAAAAUGGCUAACCGUUUAUUUCCAGAGAGCGUGUUUUUUCGUCAACUGGAAAACCGAUUAGCAAGCUUGAAAAUUUCAAUUGUGAAUCGAUACAAAUUCAAACCAAAAGAGUGUCUUUGAAGAAGUACCAUUUCUAAUGGUUGUAUUUUUUCAAAUAAACAUCUUCUUCAUUAAAUAGUUAGACACACAAUUAGAUAAUUAUCAGAUUUUACAGGUUUCAUAUAUGUUCUGAAAAUACAAUCUUAUUUGCUAGAGAUUGUAUUCAGGAUUUGAUAUAUCUUGGGGGUAAUUUGCCAUUAAAACUCUAUAGCAAACUAAGAUUAGUGAGGGCAAAUAAAACCUUAAAGGAAAGUGUGCAAACACGUCUCAAAUCCUAAGAAUUUUUCUUUACUCUUUGCCUCCAUAUUCAAAAAUUCACCAACAUCAUAUGCCACAAAUUAAUUCAGUGGAUUUCCAACCUGUGAGGACAAAUGUGAUUAAUUAUAAAAGCUCGUAGUGUAAAUAAAACAAU
Molecule: long non-coding RNA, 1311 nt
Filed under: Citrus x clementina
Lineage: Eukaryota; Viridiplantae; Streptophyta; Magnoliopsida; Sapindales; Rutaceae
Description: Citrus clementina (C. clementina) long non-coding RNA (CCLE_LNC004126)
Source: RNAcentral